GACGAACGCUGGCGGCGUGCUUAACACAUGCAAGUCGAACGGAAAGGCCCUGCUUUUGUGGGGUGCUCGAGUGGCGAACGGGUGAGUAACACGUGAGUAACCUGCCCUUGACUUUGGGAUAACUUCAGGAAACUGGGGCUAAUACCGGAUAGGAGCUCCUGCUGCAUGGUGGGGGUUGGAAAGUUUCGGCGGUUGGGGAUGGACUCGCGGCUUAUCAGCUUGUUGGUGGGGUAGUGGCUUACCAAGGCUUUGACGGGAAGCCGGCCUGAGGGGGUGACCGGCCACAUUGGGACUGAGAUACGGCCCAGACUCCUACGGGAGGCAGCAGUGGGGAAUAUUGCACAAUGGGCGGAAGCCUGAUGCAGCAACGCCGCGUGCGGGAUGACGGCCUUCGGGUUGUAAACCGCUUUCGCCUGUGACGAAGCGUGAGUGACGGUAAUGGGUAAAGAAGCACCGGCUAACUACGUG
RNAcentral lists this ribosomal RNA (468 nucleotides) under uncultured bacterium. RNAcentral describes it as "partial 16S ribosomal RNA". It matches the Rfam family "Bacterial small subunit ribosomal RNA", at positions 28 to 507 of the family's 1533-position model. The record is from RNAcentral.